AUAGUAGUGUCAGAGUUUGAUCCUGGCUCAGGAUGAACGCUAGCUAUAGGCUUAACACAUGCAAGUCGAGGGGAAACGGCAUGAGAUGCUUGCAUCUUAUGGACGUCGACCGGGCGUACGGGGUGAGUAACGCGUAUGCAACUUGCCUCUUAGUGGGGAAUAACCCGGAGAAAUCCGGACUAAUACCGCAUACACUUAGUUAUCCGCAUGGAUGAUUAAGGAAAGAUUUUAUUGCUAAGAGAUAGGCAUGCGUUCCAUUAGUUAGUUGGUGAGGUAACGGCUCACCAAGGCAUCGAUGGAUAGGGGAGCUGAGAGGCUUAUCCCCCACAUAGGAACUGAGACACGGUCCUA
RNAcentral lists this ribosomal RNA (351 nucleotides) under uncultured bacterium. RNAcentral's name for it is "bacterial SSU rRNA". It matches the Rfam family "Bacterial small subunit ribosomal RNA", at positions 1 to 334 of the family's 1533-position model. The record is from RNAcentral.